This 263-nucleotide ribosomal RNA is filed under the name Lutzomyia longipalpis. Its description in RNAcentral is "partial 12S ribosomal RNA". The record is from RNAcentral. Lineage: Eukaryota; Metazoa; Arthropoda; Insecta; Diptera; Psychodidae.
UUUAUGAAAUUAAAAUAAUUUGGCGGUAUUUUAGUCUAUUCAGAGGAAUUUGUUUUAUAAUCGAUAAUCCCCGUUAAAUCUUACUUAUUUUAUUUAAUUUGUAUAUCGUUGUCAUUAGAAUAUUUUAUAAGAAUAAUAAUUUUCUUAAAUUAUUUAAAAUUUUAUGUCAAAUCAAGGUGCAGUUUAUAUUUAAGUAAAAAUGAAUUACAUUAAUAUAUAAUUAAAUGAAUUAAAAAUUGAAACGUUUUUAUGAAGGUGGAUUU